UCAUCGUCCACUCGAUCGCCCGGUCUUUGU
This 30-nucleotide small RNA is filed under the name Bombyx mori (domestic silkworm). Its description in RNAcentral is "ovarian small RNA-26140". Lineage: Eukaryota; Metazoa; Arthropoda; Insecta; Lepidoptera; Bombycidae. The record is from RNAcentral.